Molecule: long non-coding RNA, 1385 nt
Filed under: Homo sapiens (human)
Lineage: Eukaryota; Metazoa; Chordata; Mammalia; Primates; Hominidae
Description: long non-coding RNA NONHSAT216983.1
Source: RNAcentral
CCUACUGCGGGCGCUCCCCUGUCUGGGGGGUGCUUGGCUGGGUGUGGAGAAGGAUCAAUCACAGCUGACUCCUCAGAGGUGACAGCCCCUGCCCCCUUAAAAACAAGAAAAGACCUAGCAGUGUGAAGCCAAACUGCACCCCCAGCCCCGGUGACAUGAGGAAACCGUGAGGCGCUCAGCCUGAGGUUCAUCGUUCAUCUCCUUCCUGCUUGGAAUCAGAAUGUCCUCACUGCUGAGUUUCUCCGUUUUAUGGGAUUACAUUAGUGGACAAAGGAGUGAAGCAAAGCAGCACUGAGCUCCUCCAAGUAAAGAAAGAAUUGUUUUCUGUACAACCUGGAGCUGAAUCAUAGAAGGAGAAGACAGCUUGAAAGAUAAGAGGCCGUAAGGCAGACCACAGAGGAUGGGGAGGAUUUCCCCAGCACCCCAGCCCCCAUAGUCAGCUCUGGUUCAGCGAUUUCAGCAACUCUUUCAUGACCCAUCUGAUUUUGUUUUAUCCCAGCCCUGCAGAGAAAGGACUCUGCAGGUCAGGACUUGCUUCUUCAACAGACAAAAACUCCUCUGCCAGAAAAGUUGGAGAAACUAGUUUAGAAAGUCGGAGGAUGUGAAGAAGUCUGCCUUUGUUCUGGGGACCUUGGUGGGAGAUGAGGGUGGGCUGGUGGAGACGAGGGUGAGAAUGAACCUUGCCGCAGACCCUUUGGGCUCCAUGCAGAGCUGGCUGCAGAAGAGGAAGGAAAGGAAAUUGGCCAGCUGCUGUCUCUGUGACUGGACCUGGGCCAAUCAAGAAACUGAGAGGAGCAGGGCCAGCCGGCUGUUGUGCCUCAAACUUAGGCAGAAACAAGCAAAGGCAAGGAUUUGGGGCUCUGAGUCACCCUCUCUGGAGGAACAAGAGCUUAGAGGAGGAAAUCACUUUUUAAGCUCCCUUUACUUUUACACACACGUUUUUAUUCCAGUAAAUUCAAACUAAAGAGGAAGAAGUCAUGAAAGGGCAGCUGCCACCUCAGGCCAUGGUGGCGGAGACAAAGGCUAUGGGCCGGUGUAGACGUCUAAGAAACCAACAGGAAGUCCCAGCCGGAAACACAGAAAGGAUAUGGAGAAAAUUAUUAUUCUGCCCCUACAGUUUCGGUGACCCAGAUGGGAUCUCUGGGACACCCUGCCUGCUCUACAAUUGGGAUCCCUGGAAAAGUGACAGAAUCUGGCAACAGAUGAGUAAGAAAGGUCACUUCCUGGCAGACCUCAGGUAUAUUGGGGACAUCAAGAAAAGAAUAAUUCAUCAAAGUCUACAGAUAUUGCAGGCAAAGUUGAAACAAGCCAGACAAGUUCUCUUUGUAUUCUUGAGAGACUUGGAAAGUCUAACCUGAGAUUCCUUAUUAAAAGUUCCAGCAAAA